RNAcentral lists this ribosomal RNA (386 nucleotides) under uncultured bacterium. RNAcentral's name for it is "bacterial SSU rRNA". It matches the Rfam family "Bacterial small subunit ribosomal RNA", at positions 29 to 416 of the family's 1533-position model. The record is from RNAcentral.
AUUGAACGCUGGCGGCAUGCCUUACACAUGCAAGUCGAACGGCAGCACGGGGGCAACCCUGGUGGCGAGUGGCGAACGGGUGAGUAAUGCAUCGGAACGUGCCCAGUAGUGGGGGAUAACUAGUCGAAAGAUUAGCUAAUACCGCAUACGACCUAUGGGUGAAAGCGGGGGAUUCGCAAGAACCUCGCGCUAUCGGAGCGGCCGAUGUCUGAUUAGCUAGUGGCGGGGUAAAGCCCACCAAGGCUUCGAUCAGUAGCUGGUCUGAGAGGACGACCAGCCACACUGGGACUGAGACACGGCCCAGACUCCUACGGGAGGCAGCAGUGGGGAAUUUUGGACAAUGGGCGCAAGCCUGAUCCAGCCAUGCCGCGUGCGGGAAGAAGGCC